Molecule: ribosomal RNA, 460 nt
Filed under: uncultured bacterium
Lineage: Bacteria
Description: partial 16S ribosomal RNA
Rfam family: Bacterial small subunit ribosomal RNA
Source: RNAcentral
CCUACGGGUGGCAGCAGUGAGGAAUAUUGGUCAAUGGGAGAGAUCCUGAACCAGCCAAGCCGCGUGAGGGAAGACGGCCCUAUGGGUUGUAAACCUCUUUUGUCGGAGAACAAAACCCGGGACGUGUCCCGGACUGCGUGUAUCCGAAGAAAAAGCAUCGGCUAACUCCGUGCCAGCAGCCGCGGUAAUACGGAGGGUGCAAGCGUUGUCCGGAAUCAUUGGGCGUAAAGAGUUCGUAGGUGGCAUAUUAAGUCUGGUGUUAAAUGCAGAAGCUCAACUUCUGUUCGGCACUGGAUACUGGUAAGCUUGAAUGCGGUAGAGGUAAAGGGAAUUCCUGGUGUAGCGGUGAAAUGCGUAGAUAUCAGGAGGAACAUCGGUGGCGUAAGCGCUUUACUGGGCCGUAAUUGACACUGAGGAACGAAAGCCGGGGUAGCAAAUGGGAUUAGAUACCCGGGUAGUC